Molecule: ribosomal RNA, 24 nt
Filed under: Ganoderma lucidum
Lineage: Eukaryota; Fungi; Basidiomycota; Agaricomycetes; Polyporales; Polyporaceae
Description: partial 5.8S ribosomal RNA
Source: RNAcentral
UCAAAACUCGAUAAUGAUCCUUCC